Molecule: transfer RNA, 105 nt
Filed under: Nanobdellota archaeon
Lineage: Archaea; Nanobdellati; Nanobdellota
Description: tRNA-Trp
Rfam family: tRNA
About the family: Transfer RNA (tRNA) molecules are approximately 80 nucleotides in length. Their secondary structure includes four short double-helical elements and three loops (D, anti-codon, and T loops).
Source: RNAcentral
GGGGAUGUAGUAUAACUUGGUUAGAAUAGUGGGCUCCAGACCCGCGGAUCUGGGUAAUGAUGGGUAUUUGCUUAUCAUUCAGGAAUUCAAAUCCCAGCAUCCCCA